RNAcentral lists this ribosomal RNA (468 nucleotides) under uncultured bacterium. Its description in RNAcentral is "partial 16S ribosomal RNA". It matches the Rfam family "Bacterial small subunit ribosomal RNA", at positions 28 to 507 of the family's 1533-position model. The record is from RNAcentral.
GACGAACGCUGGCGGCGUGCUUAACACAUGCAAGUCGAACGGAAAGGCCCUGCUUUUGUGGGGUGCUCGAGUGGCGAACGGGUGAGUAACACGUGAGUAACCUGCCCCUGACUUUGGGAUAACUUCAGGAAACUGGGGCUAAUACCGGAUAGGAGCUCCUGCUGCAUGGUGGGGGUUGGAAAGUUUCGGCGGUUGGGGAUGGACUCGCGGCUUAUCAGCUUGUUGGUGGGGUAGUGGCUUACCAAGGCUUUGACGGGUAGCCGGCCUGAGAGGGUGACCGGCCACAUUGGGACUGAGAUACGGCCCAGACUCCUACGGGAGGCAGCAGUGGGGAAUAUUGCACAAUGGGCGGAAGCCUAAUGCAGCAACGCCGCGUGCGGGAUGACGGCCUUCGGGUUGUAAACCGCUUUCGCCUGUGACGAAGCGUGAGUGACGGUAAUGGGUAAAGAAGCACCGGCUAACUACGUG